Molecule: non-coding RNA, 486 nt
Organism: Arachis ipaensis
Lineage: Eukaryota; Viridiplantae; Streptophyta; Magnoliopsida; Fabales; Fabaceae
Source: RefSeq, a predicted model, not a curated record
ACCCGAAUAGGCUAUUUUUUGGAUGCCAAUUGUUAAAGGUGACAGAACCACAUUGCAAAUUCUUUGUCUGGGUUGAUGACCACAUUGUAAGGGUCAGAGUAGUGGAGCCAACAAGGGGAUUGGGUGACGGCAAGCUGAAUGAUGUUGAAGAACAUUCGGGACUGGAUAACUUGAUUGCUCAUGUAGAGGAAAGAAUAGUAAACCUAGAGAAGCUGCUGAACAAAAAAGUAGAGAAGCAGAGUUGAAGAAAAAGAAUAGAGAAGCAGAUGCAAGAGAGAAGGAGGCUUCAUCAACAAAGUCUAAUGAUUAGAUCAAAACCAGAACCACAAGCACCUCUAAUAAGGUUAUAGAAGAUCAAUGAAGAUUGUUUUUUGAAGAUAGUUCUAGGCAAUUAUGUUAUCUAUGAUAGUUUGUGAAUUUUUCUUUUACAAUGUAAACACAAAAUUGAUUAAAAAUUUUAAAAGAAAAAUUGGUGAUGCCGUUUCG